Long non-coding RNA from Homo sapiens (human), 614 nucleotides. NCBI's taxonomy places the organism in Eukaryota, Metazoa, Chordata, Mammalia, Primates, Hominidae. The record is from Ensembl.
AGUUCUUUCUUUUCAAGAUGGCCGAAUAGGAACAGCUCCAGUCUGCAGCUCCCAGCGAGAUCGACACAGAAGGCAGGUCAUUUCUGCAUUUACAACUGAGGUCUUGAGACUUCGGUUUCGCAUACAUAAAGAAGAUGGUACCGUAAAAUAUGAUCACCACAGUCAGGAAAUCAAAAGAAGAUCUAACAUGAAAUGUAUUUACUGCCAAGAAACAAACAGUACAAAUUAACUGAACAAUCAUUCUUUUGACACAUAUUAGAAGGAGUGCUUGCUUGAAGUUCUGACAUCCAGUUAUCUUCAGUAAUGUGUGUGACUAGAAUACAAUGAAAUUGGGAAUGAUGGAAGCACCUAUACCGCAUCGCCAAUAUGUGAAGAUCUACCCACGAUCAGACACACAUGCAGACGGAACCUUUCCUGCUGUUGAGGACAUGUUCCUGAGUUGAGGACACUCUCCCGAGCUGAGGUUUCUAAAACCCCUGGCCAAUCAACAACUCUAAGCUUAACAUCUUCAUUUCAUCAACCCCAGCAAACAAGCAGUAAAGGGGGCAAAAGACUACUCAACAAAGACUGGAAUUUUAAUUCAGCAAUUUAUAAAGUGUUUAAAAUUUCACAGC